RNAcentral lists this ribosomal RNA (320 nucleotides) under uncultured Coprococcus sp. RNAcentral describes it as "bacterial SSU rRNA". It matches the Rfam family "Bacterial small subunit ribosomal RNA", at positions 28 to 339 of the family's 1533-position model. Lineage: Bacteria; Bacillati; Bacillota; Clostridia; Lachnospirales; Lachnospiraceae. The record is from RNAcentral.
GAUGAACGCUUGCGGCGUGCUUAACACAUGCAAGUCGAACGGAGAUUUACCACCUGCUUGCAGGAGGUAAAUCUUAGUGGCGGACGGGUGAGUAACGCGUGGGUAACCUGCCUCACACAGGGGGAUAACAGUUGGAAACGACUGUUAAUACCGCAUAAGCGCACGGUAUCGCAUGAUACAGUGUGAAAAACUCCGGUGGUGUGAGAUGGACCCGCGUCUGAUUAGCUAGUUGGUGAGGUAACGGCCCACCAAGGCGACGAUCAGUAGCCGGCCUGAGAGGGUAAACGGCCACAUUGGGACUGAGACACGGCCCAAACUCC